CAGUAGCCGCGGGAAUACGUAGGGUCCGAGCGUUGUCCGGAAUUACUGGGCGUAAAGAGCUCGUAGGUGGUUUGUCGCGUUGUUCGUGAAAACUCACAACUCAAUUGUGGGCGUGCGGGCGAUACGGGCAGACUGGAGUACUGCAGGGGAGACUGGAAUUCCUGGUGUAGCGGUGGAAUGCGCAGAUAUCAGGAGGAACACCGGUGGCGAAGGCGGGUCUCUGGGCAGUAACUGACGCUGAGGAGCGAAAGCGUGGGGAGCGAACAGGAUUAGAUACCCCAGUAGUCCCUGUCUCUUAUAC
RNAcentral lists this ribosomal RNA (301 nucleotides) under uncultured bacterium. RNAcentral's name for it is "partial 16S ribosomal RNA". It matches the Rfam family "Bacterial small subunit ribosomal RNA", at positions 509 to 807 of the family's 1533-position model. The record is from RNAcentral.